Molecule: ribosomal RNA, 1092 nt
Filed under: Westerdykella ornata
Lineage: Eukaryota; Fungi; Ascomycota; Dothideomycetes; Pleosporales; Sporormiaceae
Description: eukaryotic LSU rRNA
Rfam family: Eukaryotic large subunit ribosomal RNA
Source: RNAcentral
GGGAUACCCGCUGAACUUAAGCAUAUCAAUAAGCGGAGGAAAAGAAACCAACAGGGAUUGCCCUAGUAACGGCGAGUGAAGCGGCAACAGCUCAAAUUUGAAAUCUGGCCCUCUCAGGGUCCGAGUUGUAAUUUGCAGAGGGUGCUUUGGCGAUGGCUGUGGUCUAAGUUCCUUGGAACAGGACGUCGCAGAGGGUGAGAAUCCCGUAUGUGGCCGCCAGCCUACGCCGUGUAAAGCCCCUUCGACGAGUCGAGUUGUUUGGGAAUGCAGCUCUAAAUGGGAGGUAAAUUCCUUCUAAAGCUAAAUACUGGCCAGAGACCGAUAGCGCACAAGUAGAGUGAUCGAAAGAUGAAAAGCACUUUGGAAAGAGAGUCAAAAAGCACGUGAAAUUGUUGAAAGGGAAGCGCUUGCAGCCAGACUUGCCUGUAGUUGCUUACCAGGGCUCUUGCCCUGGGCACUCUUCUGCGGGCAGGCCAGCAUCAGUCCGGGCGGUUGGAUAAAUGCCUUCUGCAUGUACCUCUCUUCGGGGAGGACUUAUAGGGGUUGGCGCCAUACAGCCAGCCUGGACUGAGGUCCGCGCAUCUGCUAGGAUGCUGGCGUAAUGGCUGUAAGCGGCCCGUCUUGAAACACGGACCAAGGAGUCUAACAUCUAUGCGAGUGUUUGGGUGUGAAGCCCGAGCGCGGAAUGAAAGUGAACGGAGGUGGGAACCCCUCGGGGUGCACCAUCGACCGAUCCUGAUGUCUUCGGAUGGAUUUGAGUAUGAGCAUAGCUGUUGGGACCCGAAAGAUGGUGAACUAUGCCUGAAUAGGGUGAAGCCAGAGGAAACUCUGGUGGAGGCUCGCAGCGGUUCUGACGUGCAAAUCGAUCGUCAAAUUUGGGCAUAGGACUAAUCGAACCAUAGUAGCUGGUUCCUGCCGAAGUUUCCCUCAGGAUAGCAGUAACGUUUUCAGUUUUAUGAGGUAAAGCGAAUGAUUAGAGGCCUGGGGGUUGAAACAACCUUCACCUAUUCUCAAACUUUAAAUAUGUAAGAAGUCCUUGUUACUUGAUUGAACGUGGACAUUUGAAUGUAUCGUUACUAGUGGGCCAUUUUU